Molecule: long non-coding RNA, 232 nt
Filed under: Malus domestica (apple)
Lineage: Eukaryota; Viridiplantae; Streptophyta; Magnoliopsida; Rosales; Rosaceae
Description: long non-coding RNA (MDOM_LNC012481)
Source: RNAcentral
AACAUCAUGAUCGUAGUGUCUAAUUUAUCAAAGGGUAAUUACAUUCGUAAAUUGACCACAAAAGGGUGACAAGACACGAAUACAAGAGAGAGAGUAUAUAGCAAUACUGAGACAUAAAGUAAUCCUCCAGUCAUAGCCACAAAAGACUAAAUCACCUAUGCAGCAAGAAGUGACGAAUUUAGAUAAUUGGACCCACGACAUAAAGACUCACAAGGAGAUGCAGCAAACUCAU